AGCUCGGCCAGAGUCCAGUUCAACACAACCUGAGUUAGAGUGGCGCUCCUGAUCUCAGACAGGGGCUUCUGUGGAGGGGGAAGACAAACGGGGUUAGAGAGAGAGAUAGGUUUAUCUGUGGAGGUGGAAGACAGGCGGGGUUAGAGAGAGAGACAGGUUUAUCUGUGGAGGGAGAAGACAGACGGGGUUAGAGAGAGAGACAGGUUUAUCUGUGGAGGGGCAGAGAGACAGGUUUAUCUGUGGAGGGGGAAGACAGACGGGGUUAGAGAGAGAGACAGGUUUAUCUGUGGAGGGGGAAGACAGACGGGGUUAGAGAGAGAGACAGGUUUAUCUGUGGAGGGGGAAGACAGAUGGGGUUAGAGAGAGAGACAGGUUUAUCUGUGGAGGGGGAAGACAGAUGGGGUUAGAGAGAGAGACAGGUUUAUCUGUGGAGGGGGAAGACAG
Molecule: long non-coding RNA, 444 nt
Organism: Oncorhynchus tshawytscha (Chinook salmon)
Lineage: Eukaryota; Metazoa; Chordata; Actinopteri; Salmoniformes; Salmonidae
Source: Ensembl